Molecule: ribosomal RNA, 460 nt
Filed under: uncultured bacterium
Lineage: Bacteria
Description: partial 16S ribosomal RNA
Rfam family: Bacterial small subunit ribosomal RNA
Source: RNAcentral
CCUACGGGUGGCAGCAGUGAGGAAUAUUGGUCAAUGGGCGGAAGCCUGAACCAGCCAAGUCGCGUGAGGGAUUAAGGCCCUGCGGGUCGUAAACCUCUUUUGCCGGGGAGCAGAGGGCCGGACGUGUCCGGGCCGGGAGAGUACCCGGAGAAAAAGCAUCGGCUAACUCCGUGCCAGCAGCAGCGGUAAUACCGAGGAUGGGAGCGUUAUCCGGAUGUAGUGGGUUUAAAGGGUGCGUAGGCGGGCAUUUGAGCCGGAGGUCUAAUGUCGGGGCUCAACCCCGGCCUGCCGUCGGAACUGGGUGCCUUGAGUGGGCGAGAAGUAUGCGGAAUGCGUGGUGUAGCGGUGAAAUGCAUAGAUAUCACGCAGAACCCCGAUUGCGAAGGCAGCAUACCGGCGCCCUACUGACGCUGAGGCACGAAAGUGCGGGUAUCGAACAGGAUUAGAUACCCGAGUAGUC